AAUAAAGUUUUAUUCUAGCUUAAUAAAUUAAUUUUUUUAAUUAUUUAUAUGUAAAUUUAAGUGUUUAUAUUAAAUUUUUUAAAUAGAAAUUUAUUAAUAAAUGUUAUUCGCAGUAUUUAAUUUUGUGUAUUAAAGAGAUUUAGACUAAGAUAUUUAAAAUAGUAUUAACUAAAUUUGUGCCAGCAGUUGCGGUUAAACAGGUAAUGCAAUUAAUUUUUUUUUUCGGUAUGUAAUUAAUAAAAAUUAAAAAAAUUUAAAAUUUAAUUUAUUAAGUGAAAUUUUUAAAUUAAAUAAAAAUUUAUUGUUAGAUUGUGAGGUUACGAGAUUUUAUAAAUAAACUAGGAUUAGAUACCCUAUUAUUAAAAAUGUGAAUAAAUAUAUAUAUAUAUGUAUAUAUAUAUGUGCCGGAGUAUUAGUAGUUAUGUUCUUGAAAUUUAAAGGAUUUGGCGGUAUUUUAGUCUAUUCAGAGGAACCUGUUCUAUAAUUGAUGAUCCACGAUUAAUUGUACUUAAUUUAAAGGUUUGUAUAUCGUCGUAGUUUGAAUGUUUUAUAAGAAUUAUAAAUGUUCAAGAUUUAAUUUAAUAAAAGAAAUCAGAUCAAGAUGUAGCGUAUAGUUAAGAAGAGAUGGGUUACAAUAAAUUUAUUUAUGCAGUUAUAAUAAUUAAAAUUAUUUUAUAAGUUGGAUUUGAUAGUAAUAUAAUUGAAUUAAAUUAUAUGAUUUUGGCUCUAAAAUAUGUACAUAUCGCCCGUCGCUCCCUCUUCAAAGGGGGAUAAGUCGUAACAAAGUAGACGUACUGGAAAGUGUGUCUAGAUUGAG
This 817-nucleotide non-coding RNA is filed under the name Apogonia cf. basalis. Lineage: Eukaryota; Metazoa; Arthropoda; Insecta; Coleoptera; Scarabaeidae. The record is from RNAcentral.